RNAcentral lists this ribosomal RNA (468 nucleotides) under uncultured bacterium. Its description in RNAcentral is "partial 16S ribosomal RNA". It matches the Rfam family "Bacterial small subunit ribosomal RNA", at positions 28 to 507 of the family's 1533-position model. The record is from RNAcentral.
GACGAACGCUGGCGGCGUGCUUAACACAUGCAAGUCGAACGGAAAGGCCCUGCUUUUGUGGGGUGCUCGAGUGGCGAACGGGUGAGUAACACGUGAGUAACCUGCCCUUGACUUUGGGAUAACUUCAGGAAACUGGGGCUAAUACCGGAUAGGAGCUCCUGCUGCAUGGUGGGGGUUGGAAAGUUUCGGCGGUUGGGGAUGGACUCGCGGCUUAUCAGCUUGUUGGUGGGGUAGUGGCUUACCAAGGCUUUGACGGGUAGCCGGCCUGAGAGGGUGACCGGCCACAUUGGGACUGAGAUAUGGCCCAGACUCCUACGGGAGGCAGCAGUGGGGAAUAUUGCACAAUGGGCGGAAGCCUGAUGCAGCAACGCCGCGUGCGGGAUGACGGCCUUCGGGUUGUAAACCGCUUUCGCCUGUGGCGAAGCGUGAGUGACGGUAAUGGGUAAAGAAGCACCGGCUAACUACGUG